RNA transcript from Arabidopsis thaliana (thale cress), 1018 nucleotides. RefSeq lists it as uncharacterized. The record is from RefSeq. Lineage: Eukaryota; Viridiplantae; Streptophyta; Magnoliopsida; Brassicales; Brassicaceae. The transcript is spliced from 2 exons.
CAAAAUUUGAAAAUCACGACCUAUUAUAAGUUUUUUUUUCUUUGUUGAUAAUUGGUACUGUAUGAACUAGCAAAAGUUAUAAACAGUUUCUCGUAGCUCAAAAAUGUUUGGAUCAUCGUAGUGUCAGAUAAUUUUGGCUUAUGUGAAGGUGAGCUAAUCCUACGAAACUAAAAUUUCCAUGAAUAAAUUAUUAACCAGCGAAUAACAAAACAACUAUAAUGAAUCACGGACAAAUAUUUUUAUAGAAUUUGUUUUGUUGGGCAAGAGUUUAAAGAAUUUAUAAAGUGACUUUUCACCAAGGUUCAACAGCUGUUGUGCAAGAAGAAUCCCACCGUCAAUCACGUGUUUCAUCAAUCCAUCUGCCGCCACGCGUCAACAACACACUCGUUCUCCAAUCAUAUGCUUUGCUCCUCCCGCCGAUUAGAAAAAUAAAACGGUAAUUAAUGUUUUUGGUCACCGGAAUUGAAAACUGCUCUUUGAGUCUGCUUCUUUGUUUUACAGUUGUCACAAAAACUUUACUUUUUAAAACACCAUAAAUUCGUUAUAAAAAUAAAAACAAGAUUUGAAUGUGGCACGUUGCUUCCAUCCAUUUAAUCAUUUGAUAAUGAUACAUGAACCAUAAUCAUAUGGCAUGUUUAGUGAUUGAUACCUUCUCUAAUAUCCGCCUAAUUUGAUCUACUAUAUGGUCCGAUUAGAUUUAUAAAAAAAACAUAUUAGUUUAGUUUUGAGAAUGUUUUACGCAACAGUUUUCAUCAGAUCGACCUUGUUCAUUUGAUAUAUAAAAUUUGAAAUUGUUAGUAGAAAAAUAUUUGAAAUUUAAUUUUGAAGCUAACGAACGGGCUUUAAAUUUUUGAACAAAAUAACUAAACUUAUGAGUGAGAUUCUAUUUCGUGGUUGGUCAUUUCAAACAUGUUAUAUGUCAGAAAACAUAAUUUCAAAUUUUCAACUAUACUACUUCUCCGCCAGCUUUUAUACCAAAUUCCAGUUUUAAAUAUAUUUUUUGUUUGGUUUACUAUGC